Molecule: long non-coding RNA, 471 nt
Filed under: Pan troglodytes (chimpanzee)
Lineage: Eukaryota; Metazoa; Chordata; Mammalia; Primates; Hominidae
Description: long non-coding RNA NONPTRT006671
Source: RNAcentral
GGGGAAUGAAGACCUAGUUCAGGGAAUAGGAGGGUGUAUCGCCGCCGGAGUGCGGAACACCCUCGCCUUGAGGGUUCCCACAGUGACUUGCAAAAGUCUAGUGAGACCCGAGAAGGCUGAGGCGGGACACGAAGCAUGUGGUUCUUGUGGUUGCGACGCUCGUGCCGCCAUCUUGGGUGCUGGCGGCGGAAACCGGUACCCCAACUUCCCCUCGGUGCGAACCUGGAGAAGCCACCCCAGCUGUGAGGGACGGUUGCGCCUCAUGGCCCAGGCAAGGGUACCUUCGCUGGAGCAGUACCGCGGACGGAUAUCAUGAGGGUGGCGGGACGUUGGCGGGACGUUGGCGGAACGUUGGCGGAACGUUGGCGGUGUGAGAGGUGUGGGGCUGGACUGGAACUCCUGGACUCAAGCGAUCUUCCCAUUUAUCAGGGACUACUGACGCGUGUCUCCCAAUAAAUACCUGAGUAUAAA